GAUGAACGCUGACGGAAUGCUUAACACAUGCAAGUCAACUUGAACUUCGGUUUGGGUGGCGGACGGGUGAGUAACGCGUAAAGAACUUGCCUCACAGAUAGGUACAACAUUUGGAAACGAAUGCUAAUACCUGAUAUUAUGAUUAUAUGGCAUCGUAUAAUUAUGAAAGCUAUAUGCGCUGUGAGAGAGCUUUGCGUCCCAUUAGCUAGUUGGAGAGGUAACGGCUCACCAAGGCGAUGAUGGGUAGCCGGCCUGAGAGGGUGAUCGGCCACAAGGGGACUGAGACACGGCCCUUACUCCUACGGGAGGCAGCAGUGGGGAAUAUUGGACAAUGGACCAAGAGUCUGAUACAGCAAUUCUGUGUGCACGAUGAAGUUUUUCGGAAUGUAAAGUGCUUUCAGUUGGGAAGAAAAAAAUGACGGUACCAACAGAAGAAGUGACGGCUAAAUACGUG
RNAcentral lists this ribosomal RNA (454 nucleotides) under uncultured bacterium. RNAcentral describes it as "partial 16S ribosomal RNA". It matches the Rfam family "Bacterial small subunit ribosomal RNA", at positions 28 to 507 of the family's 1533-position model. The record is from RNAcentral.